RNAcentral lists this ribosomal RNA (441 nucleotides) under uncultured bacterium. RNAcentral's name for it is "partial 16S ribosomal RNA". It matches the Rfam family "Bacterial small subunit ribosomal RNA", at positions 338 to 795 of the family's 1533-position model. The record is from RNAcentral.
CCUACGGGUGGCAGCAGUGGGGGAUAUUGCACAAUGGGGGAAACCCUGAUGCAGCGACGCCGCGUGGGCGAAGAAGUAUUUCGGUAUGUAAACUGCUUGAGACAGGGAAGAAAAAAGACAGUACCUGUAGAAUAAGCUCCGGCUAACUACGUUCCAGCAGCCGCGGUAAUACGUAGGGAGCAAGCGUUAUCCGGAUUUAUUGGGUGUAAAGGGUGCGUAGACGGAGAAGCAAGUUAGUUGUGAAAUCCCUCGGCUUAACUGAGGAACUGCAACUAAAACUACGUCACUAGAGUACUGGAGAGGAAAGUGGAAUUCCUAGUGUAGCGGUGAAAUGCGUAGAUAUUAGGAGGAACACCAGUGGCGAAGGCGACUUUCUGGACAGUAACUGACGUUGAGGCACGAAAGUGUGGGGAGCAAACAGGAUUAGAUACCCUUGUAGUC